This 247-nucleotide ribosomal RNA is filed under the name uncultured Oscillospiraceae bacterium. Its description in RNAcentral is "partial 16S ribosomal RNA". It matches the Rfam family "Bacterial small subunit ribosomal RNA", at positions 796 to 1041 of the family's 1533-position model. Lineage: Bacteria; Bacillati; Bacillota; Clostridia; Eubacteriales; Oscillospiraceae. The record is from RNAcentral.
CACGCCGUAAACGAUGGAUACUAGGUGUAGGGGGUAUCGACCCCCCCUGUGCCGGAGUUAACACAAUAAGUAUCCCACCUGGGGAGUACGACCGCAAGGUUGAAACUCAAAGGAAUUGACGGGGGCCCGCACAAGCAGUGGAGUAUGUGGUUUAAUUCGAAGCAACGCGAAGAACCUUACCAGGGCUUGACAUCCUCAGGAUACCCAAGAGAUUGGGUAGUGCCUUCGGGAACUGAGAGACAGGUGG